UNUGACUUGAGUGCAGAAGGGGAGAGUGGAAUUCCAUGUGUAGCGGUGAAAUGCGUAGAUAUAUGGAGGAACACCAGUGGCGAAAGCGGCUCUCUGGUCUGUCACUGACGCUGAGGCUCGAAAGCGUGGGUAGCGAACAGGAUUAGAUACCCUGGUAGUCCACGCCGUAAACGAUGAGUGCUAGGUGUUAGGCCCUUUCCGGGGCUUAGUGCCGGAGCUAACGCAAUAAGCACUCCGCCUGGGGAGUACGACCGCAAGGUUGAAACUCAAAGGAAUUGACGGGGGCCCGCACAAGCGGUGGAGCAUGUGGUUUAAUUCGAAGCAACGCGAAGAACCUUACCAGGUCUUGACAUCCCGAUGCUAUUCUUAGAGAUAGGAAGUUACUUCGGUACAUCGGAGACAGGUGGUGCAUGGUUGUCGUCAGCUCGUGUCGUGAGAUGUUGGGUUAAGUCCCGCAACGAGCGCAACCCUUAUUGUUAGUUGCCAUCAUUAAGUUGGGCACUCUAGCGAGACUGCCGGUAAUAAACCGGAGGAAGGUGGGGAUGACGUCAAAUCAUCAUGCCCCUUAUGACCUGGGCUACACACGUGCUACAAUGGUCGGUACAACGAGUUGCGAGCCGGUGACGGCAAGCUAAUCUCUGAAAGCCGAUCUCAGUUCGGAUUGGAGGCUGCAACUCGCCUCCAUGAAGUCGGAAUCGCUAGUAACCGCGGAUCAGCACGCCGCGGUGAAUACGUUCCCGGGCCUUGUACACACCGCCCGUCACACCACGAGAGUUUGUAACACCCGAGGUCGGUGAGGUAACCUUUUAGGGGCCAGCCGC
This 821-nucleotide ribosomal RNA is filed under the name uncultured bacterium. Its description in RNAcentral is "bacterial SSU rRNA". It matches the Rfam family "Bacterial small subunit ribosomal RNA", at positions 636 to 1456 of the family's 1533-position model. The record is from RNAcentral.